CCCUUAGAUGUUCUGGGCCGCACGCGCGCUACACUGAUGCAUUCAACGAGUUUCUUCCUGGUCCGAGAGGAAUGGGUAACCUUUUGAAAGUGCAUCGUGAUAGGGAUAGACUAUUGCAAUUAUUGGUCUUCAACGAGGAAUUCCUAGUAGACGUAGUUCAUCAGACUGCAUCGAUUACGUCCCUGCCCUUUGUACACACCGCCCGUCGCUCCUACCGAUUGAAUGCUCAGGUGAGCCAUUCGGACUUUCAUCAUGCUGGUUUUCAGUUUUGAUGAAGGAAAGUCUUGCGAACCUUAUCAUUUAGAGGAAGGAGAAGUCGUAAUA
This 324-nucleotide ribosomal RNA is filed under the name uncultured eukaryote. RNAcentral's name for it is "partial 18S ribosomal RNA". It matches the Rfam family "Eukaryotic small subunit ribosomal RNA", at positions 1470 to 1796 of the family's 1831-position model. The record is from RNAcentral.